GUGCUCGCUUCCGCAGCACAUAUACUAAAAGGGGAAGGAUACAGAGAAUUAACACAACUCCUCUGCAAGAAUGACAUGCAAAUCUGUGAAGUGUUCCAUAUUUAA
Molecule: small nuclear RNA, 105 nt
Organism: Suricata suricatta (meerkat)
Lineage: Eukaryota; Metazoa; Chordata; Mammalia; Carnivora; Herpestidae
Source: Ensembl